This 518-nucleotide ribosomal RNA is filed under the name uncultured bacterium. RNAcentral's name for it is "bacterial SSU rRNA". It matches the Rfam family "Bacterial small subunit ribosomal RNA", at positions 777 to 1296 of the family's 1533-position model. The record is from RNAcentral.
AAUAGAUACCCUGGUAGUCCUUGCCGUAAACGAUGUAUACUUGGUGUAGCCGGAAUCAACCCUGGCUGUGCCGGAGCUAACGCGUUAAGUAUACCGCCUGGGGAGUACAGUCGCAAGGCUGAAACUCAAAAGAAUUGACGGGGACCCGCACAAGCAGUGGAGCAUGUGGUUUAAUUCGAUGCAACGCGAAGAACCUUACCCAGGCUUGACAUGCAGUAGACAGCGCUAGAAAUAGCGUGUUCCUUCGGGACUGCUGCACAGGUGCUGCAUGGCUGUCGUCAGCUCGUGCCGUGAGGUGUUGGGUUAAGUCCCGCAACGAGCGCAACCCUUAUCGUUAGUUGCCAACAUGUAAAGAUGGGAACUCUAAUGAGACUGCCUGGGUUAACCAGGAGGAAGGUGAGGAUGACGUCAAGUCCGCAUGGCCCUUAUGCCUGGGGCUACACACGUGCUACAAUGGCCGGUACAAAAGGCAGCGAAGCCGUGAGGUGGAGCAAAUCCCAAAAGCCGGCCCAGUUCAG